GACAGAGGGUGCAAACGUUGUUCGGAAUUACUGGGCGUAAAGCGAGUGUAGGCGGUUCGGUAAGUCGGAUGUGAAAGCCCCGGGCUCAACCCGGGAAGUGCACUCGAUACUGCCGAGCUAGAGUAUCGGAGAGGUUGGUGGAAUUCCAGGUGUAGCGGUGAAAUGCGUAGAUAUCUGGAGGAAUACCGGUGGCGAAGGCGGCAUCCUGGACCGGCAUUGACGCUGAUGAGCGAAAGCUAGGGGAGCAAACGGG
RNAcentral lists this ribosomal RNA (253 nucleotides) under uncultured bacterium. RNAcentral describes it as "partial 16S ribosomal RNA". It matches the Rfam family "Bacterial small subunit ribosomal RNA", at positions 524 to 776 of the family's 1533-position model. The record is from RNAcentral.